Molecule: ribosomal RNA, 451 nt
Filed under: uncultured bacterium
Lineage: Bacteria
Description: partial 16S ribosomal RNA
Rfam family: Bacterial small subunit ribosomal RNA
Source: RNAcentral
AACGAACGCUGGCGGCAGGCCUAACACAUGCAAGUCGAGCGCCCGGAUUUAUCCGGGAGCGGCGCACGGGUGAGUAACGCGUGGGAACAUGCCCUGAAGUACGGAACGACCUGGGGAAACCUUGGCUAAUACCGUAUACGCCCUGAGGGGGAAAGAUUUAUCGCUUUGGGAUUGGCCCGCGUUGGAUUAGCUGGUUGGUGUGGUAACGGCGCACCAAGGCGACGAUCCAUAACUGGUCUGAGAGGAUGGCCAGUCACACUGGGACUGAGACACGGCCCAGACUCCUACGGGAGGCAGCAGUGGGGAAUAUUGGACAAUGGGCGAAAGCCUGAUCCAGCCAUGCCGCGUGAGUGAAGAAGGCCUUCGGGUUGUAAAGCUCUUUCAGCGGGGACGAUGAUGACGGUACCCGCAGAAGAAGCCCCGGCUAACUUCGUGCCAGCCGCCGCAGUAA